Molecule: ribosomal RNA, 486 nt
Filed under: Tisamenus serratorius
Lineage: Eukaryota; Metazoa; Arthropoda; Insecta; Phasmatodea; Heteropterygidae
Description: partial 16S ribosomal RNA
Rfam family: Bacterial large subunit ribosomal RNA
Source: RNAcentral
AAUGAUUUAUAUUUAAUGGCCGCGGUAUUUUGACCGUGCAAAGGUAGCAUAAUCAUUAGCCUAUUAAUUGUAGGCUUGUAUGAAUGGUUGGACGAAAUAUUUACUGUCUCAUAUUUAAUUAUUAUAAUUUAAAUUUUGAGUUAAAAUGCUUGAAUUUUUUUAUAGGACGAGAAGACCCUAUAGAUCUUUAUUUUUAAUUUGUUUAAUUAUUUUGGAUUUUUAUUAUUUUUACUUUUUUGAUUAUUUUGUUGGGGUGACAUGGGGAUAUUUAAAACUCUUUAUUUAUUUUUUCAUUGAUUUUUGUAUUUUUGACCUUUUAUUAUUGUUUUAAGAUAUAGAUACCUUAGGGAUAACAGCGUAAUUACCUUUGAGAGUUCAUAUCGACAAGGUAGGUUGCGACCUCGAUGUUGGAUUAAGAUUAUAGCUAGGCGCAGAGGCUUAGCUGGUAGGUCUGUUCGACCUUUAAAUUCUUACAUGAUCUGAGUU